Molecule: ribosomal RNA, 309 nt
Filed under: uncultured archaeon
Lineage: Archaea
Description: bacterial SSU rRNA
Rfam family: Archaeal small subunit ribosomal RNA
Source: RNAcentral
CGGUUUGGUAAAUCUCUUGUGAAAUCGUUAGGCUCAACCUAACGGCGCGCUAGAGACACUGCCAGACUAGAGACCGGGAAGGGUCAGAGGUAUUCCUGAGGGAGCGGUAAAAUGUGAUAAUCUCAGGAGGAUCACCUAUGGCGAAGGCAUCUGACUGGAACGGAUCUGACGGUCAGGGACGAAGGCUAGGAGAGCAAUCCGGAUUAGAUACCCGAGUAGUCCUAGCAGUAAACGCUGCGAGCAAGACGUUGUGCAUCUUACGAGGAUGUGCAGUAUCGAAAGGAAGCUGUUGAGCUCGCCGCCUGGGAA